CCCUUAGAUGUUCUGGGCCGCACGCGCGCUACACUGAUGAAUUCAACGAGCACUAACCUGUGCCGAAAGGUUCGGGUAAUCUUGUGAAAUUUCAUCGUGAUGGGGAUUGAUUAUUGCAAUUUUUAAUCAUAAACGAGGAAUGCCUAGUAAGCGUGAGUCAUCAGCUCACGUUGAUUACGUCCCUGCCCUUUGUACACACCGCCCGUCGCUCCUACCGAUUGAAUGUUCCGGUGAGCUCUUCGGACUGCGCGGUCUGCAGUUUCUGCGUUCCGUGCGGAAAGUUGCGCAAACCUUAACAUUUAGAGGAAGGAGAAGUCGUAACA
Molecule: ribosomal RNA, 323 nt
Filed under: uncultured eukaryote
Lineage: Eukaryota
Description: partial 18S ribosomal RNA
Rfam family: Eukaryotic small subunit ribosomal RNA
Source: RNAcentral